This is a long non-coding RNA of Mauremys reevesii (Reeves's turtle), 634 nucleotides long. RefSeq lists it as uncharacterized. The record is from RefSeq and is a predicted model, not a curated record. Lineage: Eukaryota; Metazoa; Chordata; Testudines; Geoemydidae. The transcript has 5 exons.
AGAGGAUGGAUGCUGGUGCCUGAGCUCCUGCUAAACCAAGCCUGCCCUGAGCCCGGUACCCUGAGGAGGAGUCGAGCCCUCCCAUGCACCCAUAUCCUGAGGAGCCGAUGCUGGUGGACCCCCCUGCUGAAGCCCCGAUGAUAUAGGUGACCCUGAUCCUAAUUAGCUGCCUGCAGCCUAGAACUCCCCUAUUUGCUGCCUUAUUAGCAACUUGGUGAAGCAAGUGAGAGAAUCAAGAGUAAGCAGGACAAAAAGUCAGGCAUGAGGCUCUGCUGACUCAAGGUAAAAUUCCCCUGGUUUCUCCAGAAUAGGUUUCCUCAGCAGGGGACACUGGGUCAUCUUAGACUUCUCUGAAACAUUGCUGUGAAUUGCAGACGUCCUCCAAAACACACUUAAAACAAGGAAGUUUCCAGAUGAGCCCCAAACUCUUCCAAGAGCACGCAUCAAGAUCAAGGGCUACGUUUUUGUGCACUGAAUAAAAUUGUGAUACUUCACUGGAACAAUGUUUUAAAGGGAGCUCAUCAACUCAAAACCUACACUUCUGUCUGAAAAUGUAAAAAUAGUUUAUUUAAAACAAAUAACCCCCUAAAAUUAUUGUAACUGAAAGAGGAAAAAAAUAUAUUUCUUUCUAUUG